UAUUUGAUUUUCGUUUUAAAAUACAAAAAUUAAAAUUGAAAUACAAGGCGUUUUUCCUUUUCAUGAUCAAAAAGGGAUAUACGAUUUUUUUUUAAAUGCUUUGAUUUUCGUUUUAUAUUUAGAAUAACAAGAAAGUAAAAUCAGUAAGAGACAGAAACGAAAAAAAGGUCCGUUUUUUCAUUUUCUGAGACCGGAAGUGGUCAUCAGGAAGUGUGGAGCCAAACAGAGUACGGUGCAUAGACUGUACAUACAUUAUUUUCGUUAGUUUUCAUGGUCAAAAUGAGAGAUCAGGUGGCCGAUCUUAAAAUAAAUCAAUAUUGAUUUUUUUAUAGAGCGUUACAGUUUUGCGAAGCCAGGGGGCGGGACUACUUGAAUGACAGUCCGGUCCGGAAUGAUUGACAGGUCCUAUGGAGGAGCCGGCAGAGACUCUGCUCUCCUCGUUUGGAUUAAUUCUGGUAUAAUAACUGUUGGUUUAUUUAUCGGUGCAGCAGCAGAACAUUUUCCACAGACAGUUUUCCUGCCCGUUGGCUUGUUUUGACCAGUUUUCUACCUUCGGCUGAUUCUACCAGCAGACACUGAAAGGACUCUAAUAGUUGGAGUGAAAGUAGCAAUUCCUCCUUAAGGUCAGAGAUUGCAGCAUCUGAGGGCCUCUUCAAAAGAAGACGUCGAUGAAGGCGAUCUGGAGCAGGACCAGAAAGACCACGACCAAGCAGCCUUGAGAUCUUAGGCAGCGUCUCCCUCAGGUCCCGCUCUAUCUCCCUACACAUCCACCAACCACUGGAACACAUCUCCAAAGUUCUGCCGGGCCAGCUCAGCUUCCCCUCAGAAGAAGUGCCGCCACCUGCCAGAUGAAGGAGCCUUUUGAGAGGCAGCUGGCAUCGUGAUUGGACUGUACUUUGGUCUGUUCCAAUCCAGCUUCAGCUCCAGAGACGGCAGGCGAGACGAGUCAACGGAGGCCGGGUGGACGAAGGCAUGCAGCUGAGUCAAAAAAAAAAAUGCGAUUUUUCAACGUUGUAAAAUGUGCCAUAUGAUGAAAUAAUGUAAAGGAGGCUGUGAAAAACACUCCAGAAAGGUUUUCUUUGAAAAAAAAAAUCAUCAUGAAUUUUGGCGCAAAAAAAACGCCAUAGUAUACUAUGUCAAAAAUGUCAUUUUUCAACAUGUUGUGAAAACAUGCCAUAUGAUGAAAUAAUGUAAAGCAGGUUGUGAAAAACACUCCAAAAAGGUUUUCUUUGAAAAAAAAAAUUAUCAUGAAUUUUGGCGCAAAAAAAAUGCCAUAGUAUACUGUCGGAAAAAAAAUGCGAUUUUUCAACAUGUUGUAAAAACGUGCCAUAUGAUGAAAUAAUGUAAAGGAGGCCGUGAAAAACACUAUGGUAAGGUUCUCUUUGAAAAAAAAAAUCAUGAAUUUUGGCGCAAAAACACGCCAUAGUAUACUAUGUCGGAAAAAAAAUGCGAUUUUUCAACAUGUUGUAAAAACAUGCCAUAUGAUGAAAUAAUGUAAAGGAGGCUGUGAAAAACACUCCAGAAAGGCUUUCUUUGAAAAAAAAAAAAUCAUGAAUUUUGGCGCAAAAAAAACGCCAUAGUAUACUAUGUCGAAAAAUGUCAUUUUUCAACAUGUUGUGAAAACAUGCCAUAUGAUGAAAUAAUGUAAAGGAGGCUGCGAAAAACACUAUGGUAAGGUUCUCUUUGAAAAAAAAAACCAUCAUGAAUUUUGGCGCAAAAAAACACCGUAGUAUACUAUGUCGGAAAAUGUCAUUUUUCAACACUAAAUCUUCUUGAAAAAUAUGUUUUACUUAAGUCCACCUGUUUCAGCCAUCUCUACCCCUCAUUAGGUGCCACUCUAACCUACAUUAUACAAAAAAAGUCCAGUAGAUGUCACUGUGUUUUGAAAUAGCAUGCAGAGCAAGUUUGUCUGCUCACAGGAAGUUAGCAUGAACAAAAACACUCCUCACAUGAGGCCUCUGUUUGCUGUGAUUUUCAAAGAUAAAGUAAUACUUUUGACAUAUUAUGGUGCCUAAGGAGUUGCUGAACACAAAUGUGUCAUUUGAAAUGUAAAAAAAAAAAAAAAAAAAAAAACAUUUAAAAGGGUAAAAUAAUUUUUCUAGACCGUUUGGUGGAGGUCAAUAUUUUAAAAAUCGCUGGGUCACUUCAUAAAAAAACCAUUGAUUGUUGUUAUUAGUGCCCCAAAGAGAUAAGAAAUAUAAAGAAAUAAUUUUUUCAUUGCCUUAUUCUUGGUGAGGAUGUUAAAGUGUUAACAUCUGUAAACAAAACAAAAACGUAUCAACAAAGUUUUCUGUUAGAGUUUGUGUUCUUGUAAGUUUAACUCCAAGAUUUUAAAUACUUUUAUUUACUGCAAAUGA
Amphiprion ocellaris (clown anemonefish) is the source of this 2357-nucleotide long non-coding RNA. RefSeq lists it as uncharacterized. The record is from RefSeq and is a predicted model, not a curated record. NCBI's taxonomy places the organism in Eukaryota, Metazoa, Chordata, Actinopteri, Pomacentridae. The transcript is spliced from 3 exons.